Molecule: transfer RNA, 72 nt
Filed under: Acidimicrobiaceae bacterium
Lineage: Bacteria; Bacillati; Actinomycetota; Acidimicrobiia; Acidimicrobiales; Acidimicrobiaceae
Description: tRNA-Asn
Rfam family: tRNA
About the family: Transfer RNA (tRNA) molecules are approximately 80 nucleotides in length.
Source: RNAcentral
GGGAGGGCAGCUCAGUCGGCAGAGCGCUCGGGUGUUACCCGUGUGUUCGUAGGUUCGAGGCCCACCCUCCCA